AUUGAACGCUGGCGGCAUGCCUUACACAUGCAAGUCGAACGGCAGCACGGGAGCAAUCCUGGUGGCGAGUGGCGAACGGGUGAGUAAUACAUCGGAACGUGCCCAAUCGUGGGGGAUACUACGCGAAGCGUAGCUAAUACCGCAUACGAUCUACGGAUGAAAGCAGGGGAUCGCAAGACCUUGCGCGAAUGGAGCGGCCGAUGGCAGAUUAGGAGUUGGUGAGGUAAAGGCUCACCAAGCCUUCGAUCAGUAACUGGUGUGAGAGCACGACCAGUCACACGGGCACUGAGACACGGGCCCGACUCCUACGGGAGGCAGCAGUAAGGAAUAUGGUCAAUGGACGAAAGUCUGAACCACGCCAUGCCGCGUGGAGGA
This 375-nucleotide ribosomal RNA is filed under the name uncultured bacterium. RNAcentral describes it as "bacterial SSU rRNA". It matches the Rfam family "Bacterial small subunit ribosomal RNA", at positions 29 to 408 of the family's 1533-position model. The record is from RNAcentral.